Molecule: long non-coding RNA, 3117 nt
Organism: Hippocampus zosterae (dwarf seahorse)
Lineage: Eukaryota; Metazoa; Chordata; Actinopteri; Syngnathiformes; Syngnathidae
Exons: 3
Source: RefSeq, a predicted model, not a curated record
CCGGUAGUCCAGUGGUUAGCACGUGGGCUUCACAGUGCAGAGGUACCGGGUUCGAUUCCAGCUCCGGCCUCCCUGUGUGGAGUUUGCGUGUUCUCCCCGGGCCUGCGUGGGUUUUCUCCGGGUGCUCCGGUUUCCUCCCACAUUCCAAAAACAUGCGUGGCAGGCUGAUUGAACACUCUAAAUUGUCCCUAGGUGUGAGUGUGAGUGCGAAUGGUUGUUCGUCUCUGUGUGCCCUGCGAUUGGCUGGCAACCGAUUCAGGGUGUCCCCCGCCUACUGCCCGGAGACAGCUGGGAUAGGCUCCAGCACCCCCCGCAACCCUAGUGAGGAUCAAGCGGUUAGGAAAAUGAAUGAAUGAAAAAUAGAGACCAACGACUGAGGCAGCUAACCCGGAUGACGAACGUCAGCUUCCACUCGGACGCAACUUUGCAAAGCAGAGAACUAGCGUCACAUUUCCUGAUAAAUAAAUACUGCGGGUCUCCUGUCGGGCUCGCAAUGUCCGCCCCUUGCGGCCGAGCGCCAUCCGGAGGUUUGCGCCGCGCUUGUCCAAGCCUCGGAAAAGGCUCCUCCAUCACCACAUGUAUUUGUCGCUUUGGGCAGCACUCGGACAGACUCAAGCGCUUGCCAAAAUGCUCAGCUGCGAACAGUCAGCAAAAGGUAAAUCGAUAAAGAUUUACAGGCAGAACGUUUCACCGCAAUCAGCUGCGACGUGGAGCCGAGGCUCGAUCGUACAAACAACGAGACUCAGCUGCUGCAGGCCUUAUGUCGUUUCCGUGGGAUUUGGCCACUCUAGGAAUCAUAAUAUGCAGUAUAGAGGCGGUCGCCCGCUGAGCACCUGCAUCGGGUCAACUCCAAUGGUUCUAUUUGUGUACUACACUGCUGAUAAAACUUUGAUUCCUGCAAAGUGGAGCCUGUGAAGGCUCGGGUCAUCACCCGACCUAGAAAGCGGUAGCCCCCAAAUGUCGAUUCACCAAGGAGCUUGACAUACGGUUGGCAUAUCCAUCAUCACGAGUACAGCCAUGAAAACGUCUCAGGAAGCCGUGCCCAAAAAGCCGCCACUGAUAUUUCAGAGUCGGAUCUCCCGUCACAGACUGAGUGACUCUGGCAUGCCAAAAUGUGAGUAAGACAGAAGUGACAUGCCAAAAGCUCCAUAAUAUCGCUUGCCCGAGAAUGUUUGGAAAAGCAGCCCCCCAAGGCCAAUUUCAUUCAGGAGUGGAAAAUUUGUUCGACGUGCCAACCAGACCAUCCCCCCCCCCCCCCAAAAAAAAGUUUUAAAUUAUAGAUAUUUUUUUAAAUUGCAAAAGCCAUGCUGGAAAAAGACAGUCUGUUCCGGCUCCGGCCUUCCCGUAUGGGAAUGUUUCUCAUGCGUUUUCUCCGGGUACUCCGGUUUCCUCCCGCAUUCCAAAAACAUGCGUGGCAGGCUGAUUGAACACUCUAAAUUGUCCUUAGGGCGGCCCGGUAGUCCAGUGGUUAGCACGUCGGCUUCACAGUGCAGAGGUACCGGGUUCGAUUCCCGGUGGGGAGUUUGUAUGUUCUCCCCGGGCCUGCGUGGGUUUUCUCCGGGUGCUCCGGUUUCCUCCCGCAUUCCAAAAACAUGCGUGGCAGGUUCGUGGAGCACUCAAAAUUGUCCCUCGGUGUGAUUGUGAGCGCGAAAGUCUAUGUGUGCCCUGCGAUUGGCUGGCAACCAGUUCAGGAUGUCCCCCGCCUGCUGCCCAAAGACAGCCGGGAUAGGCUGCGGGCACACCCGCGACCAUCCUGAGGAUAAGCGGAUUAGAAAAUGGAUGGAUAUAUAUUUUACACACACACAUAAACACGCAUAUAUUAUUCAUCAAAUUUAUACGUAUGCGGUUAAUUAUAUCUGACAUGAGUGUGAUGAUACUUGUUGCUGGCUCAAGGAUCAUUUGGGUGUGAUGGAAUCGUUUUUUAAUUUUUUUUUUUUUUUUGCACCGCAGAAUCCAGCGAAUUGAUUAAACGCUUGAUUAAACGCAAGGAGGGGGAGCGCAGCGGCCUCAUUCAAAACACAUGCAAAUAAUCUUGUUUCCGACAUUAUUGCCAGUCGUGCUCUCUUUCACACGCAGGACAUGCUAAUGCAUAUUCUCAGGAACACAUGCGUGCAGGAGCCGUAUGAACUCCAACCAUUCCAUUACACCCACACUCGAGCCCGUUCAAAUCAGACGAGCCCGUGUUCAAAGGCCAUGGUUGAGGCAAAGCCUGAAACAUUCAUCCGAGCGCAUUCUUACUCGGGAUGCAAACGGUUUUUUGUCGAGGGUGUAUAGGAUUCGGCGAAUUCCCAGCUUCAUUAUUAUCCUCAUCAGGAGGAGAUAUUCAUAAAGCGUUGUUCCGCAGUUCAAAGUUUCAAAUCUCCACUUGUGUUUCCGCCACAGAAAGGGAGAGAGCACGAUCGAAUGUCAAAAGCCAUGUGCGCACUGAAAAUGAAAAAUAUGCAACCUUCAUGGCCUCAUGUGGAUGACAUGCGGAAUCUUUAUUCGGGGUGUGCAUUUCAGGCCAGGAUUGGGUCAUGUCUUCUGUGUCUCCUCCCAAUGAGCAUCAGAGAAUUGGGAGUCAUUGUCAUGUUGCGAGGUGGUGGUGAUGGACCCCAAAAAAGCAGGCACGAGAGAGCAGCAGGUUCUACUUGAAGAAUUGUAUUAAUCCAAAACAAAGUCCGAAGAACAAAACGAAUCCAAAGUAACAAACAAAACCCAUGGCAGAAAGUAAAAACAUGACCGAAUGAACAUGACUGAACAAACAAAAAUGACAGCAGCAAAGAAGCAGCAACAAACAAACAUGACAUGACUUGACGCUGAGUGUUCGGGCUGGGAGUCCUUUUAAAGCACGAAUUUCAUAAUGACCAACAGGUGUGCAGCUGCAGGGAGAGCCUCCAGUGCCAACUGUUCCCAACCCAACCCUCACCUAUGGCCACGAGCUAUGGGUCGUGACCGAAAGAACGACAUCCCGGAUACAAGCGGCCGAAAUGAGUUUUCUCCGCAGGGUGUCCGGGCUCUCCCUUAGAGAUAAGGUGAGAAGCUCGGUCAUCCGGGAGGGGCUCAGAGUCGAGCCGCUUCUCCUCCACAUCGAGAGGAGCCAGAUGAGGUGGCUUGGGCAUCUGAUUCGGAUGCCUC